Molecule: transfer RNA, 71 nt
Filed under: Camelus bactrianus (Bactrian camel)
Lineage: Eukaryota; Metazoa; Chordata; Mammalia; Artiodactyla; Camelidae
Also listed under: 2 other names
Rfam family: tRNA
About the family: Transfer RNA (tRNA) molecules are approximately 80 nucleotides in length. Their secondary structure includes four short double-helical elements and three loops (D, anti-codon, and T loops). Further hydrogen bonds mediate the characteristic L-shaped molecular structure. tRNAs have two regions of fundamental functional importance: the anti-codon, which is responsible for specific mRNA codon recognition, and the 3' end, to which the tRNAs corresponding amino acid is attached (by aminoacyl-tRNA synthetases). tRNAs cope with the degeneracy of the genetic code in two manners: having more than one tRNA (with a specific anti-codon) for a particular amino acid; and 'wobble' base-pairing, i.e. permitting non-standard base-pairing at the 3rd anti-codon position.
Source: Rfam by way of RNAcentral
GAGGGUAUAACCCAGAGGUAGAGUGAAUGCUUAGCAUGCAGAAGGUUCUGGGUUCAAUCCCCAGUACCUCG